Molecule: long non-coding RNA, 1141 nt
Filed under: Macaca mulatta (Rhesus monkey)
Lineage: Eukaryota; Metazoa; Chordata; Mammalia; Primates; Cercopithecidae
Description: lncRNA (ENSMMUG00000055416.1)
Source: RNAcentral
CCUUACAACAACACAUUACAAAAAUCAAAACCCCAAACACCUUCAAAAUCAAAACAGAUAAACAUAGCAUUUUUAAAAUUGAAUUGCUCAGUUUAGAGAGGAAGAUUCUUCUUUCUUAGUUCACAUGUGCCCAAAAACACCACGAUGCAAGGAUGUGAACUGAGGUGGUUCAUUUCAAUGAUGUACCUAGGAACAGAGAUGAGGAACCAGGAAGAUAAACACAAACCAUUACAAGGUACAUUGUACAAGUAGAUUCUCUGUUGAUUUAUUAAAAAUAGCAGCUGAAUGGAAUACCCAAUUGAAAUACAAUCUGGAAGAGGAAUAACAUGUCUUAGAUGGACCUAAAUAAAAUAUUUCAACAAUAACCUGGGAAAAUGCUACUUAAGAAAAAUGAUAAAAAAAAAAAAAAUAAUGCACUGAUGCCCUUCUGCUAAAAUGUAAUAAAUAGGGCUCUUGGAAGAUACUAAUAUAGGGUCAAACAAAAUUUUUCAAAUAUAUAAAUUUAGAAAUAAAAUGAACUUCCAAUUUCAGUGAACCAUACUUUUUUAUUAAUUUAUAUACAUAUUAGUGGUUUAUUUUUACCAGUUUUUCUUUUAGAUGGAAAUGAAUGCACAGAAUCCAUUUUGAUGUUAGAAAGGCAAGUCUCCAGUGAAACUCUGUAUAGUGAAACUAUCCAGAAGCCUGCUCUGUGUUUGAAAGACUUUCUUCUUAGAUUUGUAUCCUCUUUAUCUGAAGAACUUCAGAAAUCAACAAAUACCUAUCAUACGCAGUGAAACCAACACUGAAGAUCUCAGUUUGAAGCACUGGAGCAGGCUGAUCUGAAGGGUUCACCAGGAAGCUGAAGAAAUUCUCAGUUAUAGUAAAUGCCUUGAGUAGACAAAUGUAUGCAUACUUUAUUUGUCCACCAAACUUCGAAGAAGAGAGAAGAAGAAAGAUGUGAAAACAAUGAUGUAACCUAUGAAAAACAGAAAAAGGAAUAUACUAUUUUUAAUAUUUUUAUUUAAGAUUAGAGAUAGAGAAAAUGUACUGCCUCCUCGUGUAUCCAUAAGGAAUGUGAAUUUUUCCUGUACUCUACAGUCUCACUGCAGCCUCUUAAAUUGAUUCUCUAGAAAUGAGGAGGAAUAUGUAAUUGAUUGACAAG